AGACGGAGGGUGCUAGCGUUGUUCGGAAUCAUUGGGCGUAAAGGGCGUGUAGGCGGUUCGUUAAGUCAUGCGUGAAAGCCCUCGGCUUAACCGAGGAAGUGCGUAUGAUACUGGCGAGCUAGAGUUCGGAAGAGGGGGGUGGAAUUCCAGGUGUAGCGGUGAAAUGCGUAGCUAUCUGGAGGAACACCGGUGGCGAAGGCGACCCCCUGGUCCGACACUGACGCUGAGACGCGAAAGCGUGGGUAGCAAACAGGAUUAGAAACCCCAGUAGUCC
Molecule: ribosomal RNA, 274 nt
Filed under: uncultured bacterium
Lineage: Bacteria
Description: partial 16S ribosomal RNA
Rfam family: Bacterial small subunit ribosomal RNA
Source: RNAcentral